AUUGAACGCUGGCGGCAUGCCUUACACAUGCAAGUCGAACGGCAGCACGGGAGCAAUCCUGGUGGCGAGUGGCGAACGGGUGAGUAAUAUAUCGGAACGUGCCCAGUCGUGGGGGAUAACGUAGCGAAAGCUACGCUAAUACCGCAUACGAUCUAUGGAUGAAAGCGGGGGAUCGCAAGACCUCGCGCGAUUGGAGCGGCCGAUAUCAGAUUAGGUAGUUGGUGAGGUAAAGGCUCACCAAGCCGACGAUCUGUAGCUGGUCUGAGAGGACGACCAGCCACACUGGGACUGAGACACGGCCCAGACUCCUACGGGAGGCAGCAGUGGGGAAUUUUGGACAAUGGGCGGCAAGCCUGAUCCAGCAAUGCCGCGUGCAGGAUGAAGGCCUCGGUUGG
RNAcentral lists this ribosomal RNA (395 nucleotides) under uncultured bacterium. RNAcentral describes it as "bacterial SSU rRNA". It matches the Rfam family "Bacterial small subunit ribosomal RNA", at positions 30 to 426 of the family's 1533-position model. The record is from RNAcentral.